CUGACAGAAGAGAGUGAGCACACGCAGGGAAUUGUAUGCAAAAGGCAUACCUUUGCUUAUGCGUGUGCUCACUUCUCUUCUGUCAG
Molecule: microRNA precursor, 86 nt
Organism: Corchorus capsularis
Lineage: Eukaryota; Viridiplantae; Streptophyta; Magnoliopsida; Malvales; Malvaceae
Rfam family: mir-156 microRNA precursor family
About the family: This family represents the plant microRNA (miRNA) precursor mir-156. Animal miRNAs are transcribed as ~70nt precursors and subsequently processed by the Dicer enzyme to give a ~22nt product.
Source: Rfam